This 492-nucleotide ribosomal RNA is filed under the name uncultured bacterium. Its description in RNAcentral is "partial 16S ribosomal RNA". It matches the Rfam family "Bacterial small subunit ribosomal RNA", at positions 29 to 507 of the family's 1533-position model. The record is from RNAcentral.
AGUGAACGCUGGCGGUAGGCCUAACACAUGCAAGUCGAACGGCAGCACAGUAAGAGCUUGCUCUUACGGGUGGCGAGUGGCGGACGGGUCAGGAAUACAUCGGAGUCUACUUUUUCGUGGGGGCUAACGUAGGGAAACUUACGCUAAUACCGCAUACGACCUACGUGUGAAAGCAGGGGAUCUUCGGACCUUGCGCGAUUGAAUGAGCCGAUGUCGGAUUAGCUAGUUAGCGGGGUAAAGGCCCACCAAGGCGACGAUCCGUAGCUGGUCUGAGAGGAUGAUCAGCCACACUGGAACUGAGACACGGUCCAGACUCCUACGGGAGGCAGCAGUGGGGAAUAUUGGACAAUGGGCGCAAGCCUGAUCCAGCCAUACCGCGUGGGUGAAGAAGGCCUUCGGGUUGUAAAGCCCUUUUGUUGGGAAGGAAGAGCAGCAGGUUAAUACCCCGCUGUUCUGACGGUACCCAAAGAAUAAGCACCGGCUAACUUCGUG